GGUCCCAUGGUUCAGUGGUCAGAACAUUGGACUCUGAAUCCAGUAACCCGAGUUCCAAUUUCGGUGGGACGU
This 72-nucleotide transfer RNA is filed under the name Morus notabilis. It matches the Rfam family "tRNA". Rfam says of the family: Transfer RNA (tRNA) molecules are approximately 80 nucleotides in length. Their secondary structure includes four short double-helical elements and three loops (D, anti-codon, and T loops). Further hydrogen bonds mediate the characteristic L-shaped molecular structure. tRNAs have two regions of fundamental functional importance: the anti-codon, which is responsible for specific mRNA codon recognition, and the 3' end, to which the tRNAs corresponding amino acid is attached (by aminoacyl-tRNA synthetases). tRNAs cope with the degeneracy of the genetic code in two manners: having more than one tRNA (with a specific anti-codon) for a particular amino acid; and 'wobble' base-pairing, i.e. permitting non-standard base-pairing at the 3rd anti-codon position. The record is from Rfam by way of RNAcentral. Lineage: Eukaryota; Viridiplantae; Streptophyta; Magnoliopsida; Rosales; Moraceae.